AAGUCGUAACAAGGUUUCCGUAGGUGAACCUGCGGAAGGAUCAUUAUUGAAUAAACCUGGCGUGGUUGUAGCUGGCUCUUUAGGGAGCAAGUGCUCGCCCGUCAUCUUUAUCUUUCCACCUGUGCACUUCUUGUAGGUCUGGAUGUAAACUUUCCGAGGCAACUCGGUCGGGAGGAAUGUCAACUUUUGUUGGCUUUCCUUGUAUGUCCAGGUCUAUGUUUUCAUAUACUCCAAAGCAUGUAACAGAAUGUGUCUAAGGUCUUUGUGCCUUAUAAACUAUAUACAACUUUCAGCAACGGAUCUCUUGGCUCUC
RNAcentral lists this unclassified non-coding RNA (313 nucleotides) under air metagenome. RNAcentral's name for it is "partial contains small subunit ribosomal RNA, internal transcribed spacer 1, and 5.8S ribosomal RNA". The stretch from base 1 to 46 matches the Rfam family "Eukaryotic small subunit ribosomal RNA", at positions 1786 to 1831 of the family's 1831-position model. The record is from RNAcentral.